This 629-nucleotide ribosomal RNA is filed under the name uncultured bacterium. RNAcentral's name for it is "bacterial SSU rRNA". It matches the Rfam family "Bacterial small subunit ribosomal RNA", at positions 229 to 849 of the family's 1533-position model. The record is from RNAcentral.
ACCUGCGGUGCAUUAGCUAGUUGGUAAGGUAACGGCUUACCAAGGCGAUGAUGCAUAGCCGAGUUGAGAGACUGAUCGGCCACAAUGGAACUGAGACACGGUCCAUACUCCUACGGGAGGCAGCAGUAGGGAAUCUUCCACAAUGGGCGCAAGCCUGAUGGAGCAACACCGCGUGAGUGAAGAAGGGUUUCGGCUCGUAAAGCUCUGUUGUUGGAGAAGAACGUGCGUGAGAGUAACUGUUCACGCAGUGACGGUAUCCAACCAGAAAGUCACGGCUAACUACGUGCCAGCAGCCGCGGUAAUACGUAGGUGGCAAGCGUUAUCCGGAUUUAUUGGGCGUAAAGCGAGCGCAGGCGGUUGCUUAGGUCUGAUGUGAAAGCCUUCGGCUUAACCGAAGAAGUGCAUCGGAAACCGGGCGACUUGAGUGCAGAAGAGGACAGUGGAACUCCAUGUGUAGCGGUGGAAUGCGUAGAUAUAUGGAAGAACACCAGUGGCGAAGGCGGCUGUCUGGUCUGCAACUGACGCUGAGGCUCGAAAGCAUGGGUAGCGAACAGGAUUAGAUACCCUGGUAGUCCAUGCCGUAAACGAUGAGUGCUAGGUGUUGGAGGGUUUCCGCCCUUCAGUGCCGG